RNAcentral lists this ribosomal RNA (489 nucleotides) under uncultured bacterium. RNAcentral's name for it is "partial 16S ribosomal RNA". It matches the Rfam family "Bacterial small subunit ribosomal RNA", at positions 30 to 507 of the family's 1533-position model. The record is from RNAcentral.
AUUGAACGCUGGCGGCAGGCCUAACACAUGCAAGUCGAACGGUAACAGGAAGCAGCUUGCUGCUUCGCUGACGAGUGGCGGACGGGUGAGUAAUGUCUGGGAAGCUGCCUGAUGGAGGGGGAUAACUACUGGAAACGGUAGCUAAUACCGCAUAAUGUCGCAAGACCAAAGAGGGGGACCUUCGGGCUCUUGCCAUCGGAUGUGCCCAGAUGGGAUUAGCUUGUUGGUGGGGUAACGGCCCACCAAGGCGACGAUCCCUAGCUGGUCUGAGAGGAUGACCAGCCACACUGGGACUGAGACACGGUCCAGACUCCUACGGGAGGCAGCAGUGGGGAAUAUUGCACAAUGGGCGCAAGCCUGAUGCAGCCAUGCCGCGUGUAUGAAGAAGGCCUUCGGGUUGUAAAGUACUUUCAGCGGGGAGGAAGGGAGUAAAGUUAAUACCUUUGCUCAUUGACGUUACCCGCAGAAGAAGCACCGGCUAACUCCGUG